GACGAACGCUGGCGGCGCGCCUAACACAUGCAAGUCGAACGAGAAUCAGCUGAUGAAGUUUUCGAAUGGAUUCGGCUGAGGAAAGUGGCGAACGGGCGAGUAACGCGUGAGCAACCUACCUUGUACUGGGGGAUAACGUCGGGAAACCGGCGCUAAUACCGCAUAACAUUACGAUAGCGCAUGUUAUUGUAAUCAAAGCUUUAGUGGUACGAGACGGGCUCGCGUCCAAUUAGCUAGUUGGUGAGGUAAAGGCUCACCAAGGCGACGAUUGGUAGCCGAACUGAGAGGUUGAUCGGCCGCAUUGGGACUGAGACACGGCCCAGACUCCUACGGGAGGCAGCAGUGGGGAAUAUUGCGCAAUGGGGGAAACCCUGACGCAGCGACGCCGCGUGAAGGAAGAAGGCCUUCGGGUUGUAAACUUCUUUGAUCGGGGACGAAAAUGACGGUACCCGAGGAACAAGCCACGGCUAACUACGUGCCAGCAGCCCGCGGUAAUACGUAGGUGGCAAGCGUUGUCCGGAAUUACUGGGCGUAAGGGGCGUGUAGGCGGGGGGACAAGUCAGAUGUGAAAUACCCGCGGCUUAACUGCGGGGGUGCAUCUUGAAACUGG
Molecule: ribosomal RNA, 610 nt
Filed under: uncultured bacterium
Lineage: Bacteria
Description: bacterial SSU rRNA
Rfam family: Bacterial small subunit ribosomal RNA
Source: RNAcentral